Molecule: non-coding RNA, 125 nt
Organism: Pelobates cultripes (western spadefoot toad)
Lineage: Eukaryota; Metazoa; Chordata; Amphibia; Anura; Pelobatidae
Source: the annotation of a GenBank genome assembly
UAUACACGCAUACCUACAAACACACCAGUAGCUUUUGUGUAUAUGUAUAUAUAUAUAUAUAUAUAUAUAUAUAUAUAUAUAUAUACACAAAAGCUACUGGUGUGUUUGUAUGGUAUGUAUGUAUG